AAUCAGGGUGGCAGAGCCCGGUAACUGCGGGGGACCUAAGCUCCCCUACCCGGAGGUUCAAAUCCUCCCCCUG
This 73-nucleotide transfer RNA is filed under the name Diplophos taenia (Pacific portholefish). Its description in RNAcentral is "tRNA-Leu (UUR)". It matches the Rfam family "tRNA". Rfam says of the family: Transfer RNA (tRNA) molecules are approximately 80 nucleotides in length. Their secondary structure includes four short double-helical elements and three loops (D, anti-codon, and T loops). Lineage: Eukaryota; Metazoa; Chordata; Actinopteri; Stomiiformes; Diplophidae. The record is from RNAcentral.